AACAUGCACAAUAUCGAAGAAACUUAGAGAGAGAAAGUAGAGAGAAGGGAGAGCAUCGAAGAUUCUCGAAGAAGACUCAGAUAUUAUUUCUGAGAAAAUGACGCCUCGGUUAUUACAAACGACCCCUGACCCCUUAUAUCAAAAUAACCCCUUUUACAGAUAUAGCCUAUUUACAUGACUGGCCUAAUUGCAAGUAUAGCCUAUUUACACAACUAGUCUAAUUAUAGACAU
Molecule: long non-coding RNA, 231 nt
Filed under: Nicotiana benthamiana
Lineage: Eukaryota; Viridiplantae; Streptophyta; Magnoliopsida; Solanales; Solanaceae
Description: long non-coding RNA (NBEN_LNC024804)
Source: RNAcentral